Molecule: ribosomal RNA, 159 nt
Filed under: bacterium enrichment culture
Lineage: Bacteria
Description: partial 16S ribosomal RNA
Rfam family: Bacterial small subunit ribosomal RNA
Source: RNAcentral
UGGGGAUAUUGCACAAUGGGGGAAACCCUGAUGCAGCCAUGCCGCGUGUGUGAAGAAGGCCUUCGGGUUGUAAAGCACUUUCAGCGAGGAGGAAAGGUUGAUGCCUAAUACGCAUCAGCUGUGACGUUACUCGCAGAAGAAGCACCGGCUAACUCCGUG